AUGGGCCGUGGUGGACCACCUCCUCCCAUGGAACGUGCUGGUCGUGGUCCACCAUGUCCUCCCAUGGGUCGUGCUACUCAUGCUCCAGUGCCUCCUCCCAUGGGUCAUGUUGAACAGAAUCCUCCGAUGGGUCAUGGUGGGCCACAUGUGAGUAAUGCUUCGGCAUCUCUUCCUAUGGGUAACACAACACAGGGCCAUACUAACUGCACUGAGCGGAUGUCGCCUACGAGCAACGACAAUGAGGUUGCAACUCCUAGGGAUCCACCAAAGUCAACUACAAAAGGGAGGGCAAGGAGUAGUCGCUAUCAUUCAGCUCUUAAACUGCACCCGAAAAGGAAAAACAGGUGCAGCUACUACAACUCAGAUAAGCACAAUGUUGAUGGCUGCCCUACGAAGUUGGCGUGA
RNAcentral lists this ribosomal RNA (405 nucleotides) under Triticum aestivum (bread wheat). RNAcentral's name for it is "partial small subunit ribosomal RNA". Lineage: Eukaryota; Viridiplantae; Streptophyta; Magnoliopsida; Poales; Poaceae. The record is from RNAcentral.